This 762-nucleotide ribosomal RNA is filed under the name uncultured Bacteroidota bacterium. RNAcentral describes it as "bacterial SSU rRNA". It matches the Rfam family "Bacterial small subunit ribosomal RNA", at positions 355 to 1123 of the family's 1533-position model. Lineage: Bacteria; Pseudomonadati; Bacteroidota. The record is from RNAcentral.
GNGAGGAUAUUGGUCAAUGGGCGAGNCCUGACCAGCCUGCCGCGUGCAGGAUGACGGCCCUAUGGGUUGUAAACUGCUUUUCUGCGGGAAGAAAAGCGAGGAUUCGCUCUUUGCUUGACGGUACUGCAGGAAUAAGCAUCGGCUAACUCCGUGCCAGCAGCCGCGGUAAUACGGAGGAUGCAAGCGUUAUCCGGAUUCAUUGGGUUUAAAGGGUGCGCAGGCGGGGUGAUAAGUCAGUGGUGAAAGCCCGGAGCUUAACUCCGGGAUUGCCAUUGAAACUGUCACUCUUGAGUGCAGUCGGAGGCGGCGGAAUGAGUUAUGUAGCGGUGAAAUGCAUAGAUAUAACUCAGAACACCGAUCGCGAAGGCAGCUGCCUAGACUGCUACUGACGCUGAGGCACGAAAGCGUGGGGAGCAAACAGGAUUAGAUACCCUGGUAGUCCACGCUGUAAACGAUGAACACUCGCUGUUGGCGAUAUACAGUCAGCGGCUGAGCGAAAGCAUUAAGUGAUCCACCUGGGGAGUACGUCGGCAACGAUGAAACUCAAAGGAAUUGACGGGGGCCCGCACAAGCGGAGGAACAUGUGGUUUAAUUCGAUGAUACGCGAGGAACCUUACCUGGGCUUAAAUGUAGGGUGCAUGGAGGGGAACCUUCCUUACCUUCGGGACUNCCUACAAGGUGCUGCAUGGUUGNCGCAGCUCGUGCCGGAGGNGUCGGGUUAAGUCCCAUAACGAGCGCAACCCCUAUCGNUAGUUGCCAUAG